AUACACUCAUCCAAGCGUAAUGUGAUCGAGAGAGCGUUUGGCGUGUGGAAAAUGAAGUGGCAGAUUCUACUAAAGAUGCCCAAUUAUUCAGUUGAAACUCAAAAGAUGAUAGUGGCUGCAACUAUGAUCAUUCACAACUAUGUUUGAUAUCAUGAUAAGGGCGAUCUUCACUUUCUUUGAGUCGACAGAGAUCCCAACUAUGUCCCAACUAUACCUUCAAGGUAUCAAUGGUACACCAUCCAUCCAAAUGCGUCAGACGCGUCAACUUCAGAGGCUAGUGAUAAAGACAUGGACCGGUUCCGUAAUAGACUAGCAUCUGAUAUUGCUCUUGGUUGGUGA
RNAcentral lists this ribosomal RNA (339 nucleotides) under Triticum aestivum (bread wheat). RNAcentral describes it as "partial small subunit ribosomal RNA". The record is from RNAcentral. Lineage: Eukaryota; Viridiplantae; Streptophyta; Magnoliopsida; Poales; Poaceae.